This 533-nucleotide ribosomal RNA is filed under the name uncultured bacterium. RNAcentral's name for it is "bacterial LSU rRNA". It matches the Rfam family "Bacterial large subunit ribosomal RNA", at positions 1562 to 2076 of the family's 2925-position model. The record is from RNAcentral.
CACCGAGACGAGGCUCGUUGGAGCCGAAGUCACUGAUCCCACGCUUCCACGGAAAAGCCCCUAAGCUUCAGCUGCGAAUAGAACCGUACCGUAAUCCGACACAGGUAGGCAGGGUGAGAAUCCCAAGGCGCUUGAGAGAACUCGGGUGAAGGAACUAGGCAACAUAGCACCGUAACUUCGGGAGAAGGUGCGCCCCGGAACGUGGCUCCAUGCGGAGCUGAGCGUUCGGGGGCCGCAGUGACCAGGCCGCUGCGACUGUUUAUCAAAACACAGCACUCUGCAAACACGAAAGUGGACGUAUAGGGUGUGACACCUGCCCGGUGCCGGAAGGUUAAUUGAUGGGGUCAGCCGCAAGGCGAAGCUCUUGAUCGAAGCCCCGGUAAACGGCGGCCGUAACAAUAACGGUCCUAAGGUAGCGAAAUUCCUUGUCGGGUAAGUUCCGACCUGCACGAAUGGUGUAACGACAGCGGCGCUGUCUCCACCCGAGACUCAGUGAAAUUGAAAUCGCUGUGAAGAUGCAGCGUUCCCGCGGC